AGUGAACGCUGGCGGUAGGCCUAACACAUGCAAGUCGAACGGCAGCACAGUAAGAGCUUGCUCUUACGGGUGGCGAGUGGCGGACGGGUGAGGCAUACAUCGGAAUCUACUUUUUCGUGGGGGAUAACGUAGGGAAACUUACGCUAAUACCGCAUACGACCUACGGGUGAAAGCAGGAGAUCUUCGGACCUUGCGCGUUUGAAUGAGCCGGUGUCGGAUUAGCUAGUUGGCGGGGUAAAGGCCCACCAAGGCGACGAUCCGUAGCUGGUCUGAGAGGAUGAUCAGCCACACUGGAACUGAGACACGGUCCAGACUCCUACGGGAGGCAGCAGUGGGGAAUAUUGGACAAUGGGCGCAAGCCUGAUCCAGCCAUACCGCGUGGGUGAAGAAGGCCUUCGGGUUGUAAAGCCCUUUUGUUGGGAAAGAAAAGCAGCAGGUUAAUACCCCGCUGUUCUGACGGUACCCAAAGAAUAAGCACCGGCUAACUUCGUG
This 492-nucleotide ribosomal RNA is filed under the name uncultured bacterium. RNAcentral's name for it is "partial 16S ribosomal RNA". It matches the Rfam family "Bacterial small subunit ribosomal RNA", at positions 29 to 507 of the family's 1533-position model. The record is from RNAcentral.